RNAcentral lists this long non-coding RNA (419 nucleotides) under Hordeum vulgare. RNAcentral's name for it is "long non-coding RNA (HVUL_LNC016074)". The record is from RNAcentral. Lineage: Eukaryota; Viridiplantae; Streptophyta; Magnoliopsida; Poales; Poaceae.
UCCCUUGAGGCAACCCUCCCCCUCAUGUUUCUCCUGUUCUUCCUUGUUUGUAGUUCCAGAGGCGCUUGGCGAAGCCCGGCUGGGAUUGCUCCACCACCAUCUCCACCAUGUUGUAGUAUUGGUCGAGAUCCCAUCUACUUCUCCGCCAACACUUGUGGGAUCAAGGAGGUGGAGAUGUCAUGGACUCACACAUGUGUUGAACACGGAGGUGUCGUCCGUUCGGCGCUAGAUCGGGACGGAUCGCGAUUGGAUCGUGAAGACGUACAACUACAUCAACCGCAUUAUAUACGCUUCCGCUUAGUGAUCUACAAGGGUAUGUAGAUACACUCCCCCUCGCAUAGAUGUUAAUCUCCAUAGAUUGAUCUUUGUGAGCAUAGGAAACUUUUUUGUUUCCUAUGCGACGUUCCCCAACAGUGGCA